GUGACCCCGCAGCGGCCCUCUCCCCGCUGGCUGCCCGCGGCCGGGCCUCAUCCCUCUCCCUCACCUCCGUCUCUGUCCCGCUCCGUCGUCCCCCCGUCUCUCUCGCUCUCUCCGCGUCCCUGCCGCCCCUUUCUCUGCCUCUGGCUCUCCACUGUCUCCCCAUCUCUGCCUCUCCUUGUCCCCGUCUCCCCCAUCUCUUCUCUCUCUCUCUCUGUCCCUCCGUCGGACUUCGCCGAGCUGUCUCGCCUCUCCGUCUCUGUCUCCCCUCCCUCUGCCUCAGUCUCCCCAUCCCUGUCUCCCCUUCCCUUGUCUCUCCCACCUCUUGUCUCUGUCUCUCCCUCCCCCCACCCGCUUUCUCUCUCACUCCCGCAGCCAUGCUCAGAAUGCACUUUUCGUUCUGCCGAGGCAGUCAACGGGGACUAUGCACGACUGCAUCCUCGCCCCUCCCCGCAGGCCUCGGCUUCUGGCAGCAGGCCCCACGCAGGGCAGACUUCAGGAAGGACUUCCCGCCCUGGCUCAGCACCGGAGCUUUAUCGCUCGGGCCAGGCGGAGGCCAGGCGGCCCCGUGGCUUCCGGAGGCGCCCGGGCGGGAUGAGCUCACUGCUAGUUGGCUUGGAUUUCAUCAGCUUCCUCUGCUGGAGUUGCCCCCGCUCCUUUUCCCGCGCGGGCCGCGCUGACGAAUCCUUCGGGCGCCUGCUGCCCCCCAGCGGCGGAAUGCGGAAGCGCAGGCGCCGCGCAAACCGUCCCCGUUAGCCGCUGACCACCUCGUGGGUCAUGAAUGCUGCAGAUAUGAACCCCUUUAAUCCUCACAACGACCCCAUGGGGUAGAGAUUAUCUUAAGUUCCAUUUACAACUGAGGCCAGAGAACUGAGGUCGGCCGCCUAAGGUCACACGGCCGCAGGGCUUUGCUGAGGACCUCCUCUGUGCCAGGCCCUGCGGUAGGCACCGGGCAUCCAACAUGGAACAGACCAGACAAAACUCCCUGUCCUCAUGAGGCUGACACUGGUCUGGGAGAGACAGACAGUAGAGAAAGAACAUAAGUAACAACAAAAAGGAUUCCACUACUUCCGUCAAGGAAAAUCCUACGACGUUGCGUUCGGAAAUCAGCCAAGGGCGAUGCAGCAUUUUGGACAUUUUGGAUGAUCGCAUCACCCCUGCAACCCCAGUCCCGCUACCAAAGUCACAUCUGAGGGUCUCACCACAGCAUCCAGCUGCUGACACGUGUAGACAAGCACGGAACGUGGGUAGACACACGCGCAUGCGCACGCUCUCAGCCCUCUCAAAAUAACUACAACAAAAGGGUGUUGUUCCAUUAACAAGUGUUCCAACUCUCUUACACUCAAAUACAAUUAUUAUUUUUAUUUUUUUAUGUUUUUUAUAUAUUUUAUUUAUUUAUUCAUGAGAGACACAGAGACAUAGGUAGAGGGAGAAGCAGGCUCCACACAGGGAGCCGGAUGCAUAACUGGAUCCCGGGACUCCAGGAUCAGGCCCUGAGCCGAAGGCAGACGCUCAACUGCUCAGCCACCCAGGUGUUGGUCAAACAUGAUCAUUGUAAAAGUUGAAAGCAUUGGACUACUUCUUGACGAUUUCCAACAUAGUUGUGCAAAUGCAUUUUCACAUAUGUUGCUUUUUUAAAGAAAGAUUAUUUAUUUGAGAGAGAAAGAGAGAGAGCGAGAGAGAGCACAUGAGUAGAGGCAGGGGAAGGGGCUGAGGGAUAAGCAGGCUUCCUGCUGAGCCAGGAGUAGGGCUUGAUCCCAGGACCCCAGGACCAUGACUUGAAUUGAAGGCAGACGCUUAACCCCUGAGCCAUGCAGGUGCACCAGCACGUGUUGCUUUAUUAUAAAUGUCUUCCCUUCAACUUCUAUCAUUUUUCCCUAUGGGAAUUUUUUUUAAGAUUUUAUUUAUUUAUGAGACACACACACACACAGAGAGAGAGAGAGAGAGAGAGGCAGAGACACAGCCAGAGAGAGGAAGAAGCAGGCUUCAUGCAGGAAGCCCGACAUGGUACUGGAUCCCGGGUCUCCAGGAUCACCACCUGGACUGAAGGCGGCGCUAAACCACUGAACCACCUGGGCCGCCCCCUUAUGGGAAAUUUAGAUUAUUGUAUUAAAAAUGGUGUUGGGGGACGUCUGGGUGGCUUAGCAGUUGAGUGUCUGCUUUCAGUUUGGGUGGUGAUCCCUGGGGUCCUGGGAUUGAGUCCCGUAAUGGGCUCCCUGCAUGGAGCCUGCUUCUCCCUCUGCCUGUGUC
Long non-coding RNA from Canis lupus familiaris (dog), 2247 nucleotides. RefSeq lists it as uncharacterized. Lineage: Eukaryota; Metazoa; Chordata; Mammalia; Carnivora; Canidae. The record is from RefSeq and is a predicted model, not a curated record. The transcript is spliced from 3 exons.